GGAAAGAAGGGGAGUAAUAUACAAAUAUUUCAACUAUCCUUCUCAACAACCAUUCACUACCUAUAAUUUCCCUCAUUUUUGAUCAAUUCAUUUCCCCUACCAACGUGUAAUGGACUCGGUAAGCACCACAACCUCUCUGCUUCCAGAGAUAAGCCCGGAGGUCGCUGCCGGUGCUAACAAUUCCGAUUCAGACUCCGCCACCGCUAUUCUUGUACUAAGCACCGUUGUGGGCGUCGCAGGUGGGAUUUUCGUCGCCUGGGCAGCCAAGAAUUGUGGAUGAUCUUGGAUUAACAGUGGCAGAGGCGACGGCGAUGGAGACGGAGACGGUUGGAUCGCUCAAAUUGCAGAAGAGAGAAAGAAGGUUGAAUAGUGGGAAUUUGCAGUGUGGUGGCGAGGUUAACUUUCAAAUGAAGUAAAAAUUUACAUAACCUAAUUUUUUCAGUGCAAUGACCAUUAUACCCCGCCUUGUUAUUGUGAAAUAAAUUUGUGAUAGAUGGAAUUAAUUUCUCCUUUAAAUUCCAAAAUUACAUGUAUUAAUACUAGCCCUUGAUUUUCUUGAUCUUGUGGCUGUGAUUUGUUAUCUAGUUAUGUAGUUAAUGAGCACUUGCCCUAGAUCACUACUAUAUAUAUAUAUAUAUAUAUAUAGUAGUGAUAUGGGGCAGGUACCUUAAGUAUACAACUAGAGAACAAAUUUCAGCCACAAGAUCAAAAAAUUAAGGGCUAAGAUUACUUUUAGAAUUCUAGUAUUAUAUUCAGGUUUUGAUUCACUAUAUGAAUAAUUUAGUUCACUCGGGGGUAUAUUGGUCAUUUUGCUGAACUAAAAUGAGGUGGGUCUUCUCUUUCCCUAAUUUGAACAUUCCACUUCCGUCUGUCUCUUCUCUAAACCUCAUUUUCUCUUUGUCGAAUACAUAGGGUUCCACCACCGUGACCUCCAUUCUUCGUCAUGUUUCCUCCAUUCCAGCCGCCAUUUCCUCCAUUCCUCGUCGUCGCAUAGUUAGGGCUCAUCACCGUGCUUUCCUCCGUCAAUUUCCGGCGUUGUGUCCUCCAAUCCUCACCGCCUCACGAUCGCUGCGAUUGCGUUUUCUUCUAAUCUAGUUUGUAAAAUUUAAAUCUCUUAUAAGUUUCUGAUUUUUUGUUUCUUUGAGCAAUAGUUGGAGAAUCGGAAAAAAGUAACACUGCUUGUUUUUUUCUUAUUGAAAUGUGAGGUUUGAAAAUUCA
This is an RNA transcript of Salvia splendens (bonfire salvia), 1218 nucleotides long. It is a transcript of the gene named sugar transporter ERD6-like 5, with no coding region annotated. NCBI's taxonomy places the organism in Eukaryota, Viridiplantae, Streptophyta, Magnoliopsida, Lamiales, Lamiaceae. The record is from RefSeq and is a predicted model, not a curated record. The transcript has 2 exons.